AUCCAGCAGACGAUUCCCAAGUAGAAGGAAACGCGUGUCUUGGAU
Molecule: non-coding RNA, 45 nt
Filed under: Schistosoma bovis
Lineage: Eukaryota; Metazoa; Platyhelminthes; Trematoda; Strigeidida; Schistosomatidae
Also listed under: 1 other name
Source: RNAcentral